This 408-nucleotide ribosomal RNA is filed under the name uncultured rumen bacterium. RNAcentral describes it as "bacterial SSU rRNA". It matches the Rfam family "Bacterial small subunit ribosomal RNA", at positions 509 to 916 of the family's 1533-position model. The record is from RNAcentral.
CAGCAGCCGCGGUAAUACGUAGGGUGCAAGCGUUAAUCGGAAUUACUGGGCGUAAAGCGUGCGCAGGCGGUUAUGCAAGACAGAGGUGAAAUCCCCGGGCUCAACCUGGGAACUGCCUUUGUGACUGCAUGGCUAGAGUACGGUAGAGGGGGAUGGAAUUCCGCGUGUAGCAGUGAAAUGCGUAGAUAUGCGGAGGAACACCGAUGGCGAAGGCAAUCCCCUGGACCUGUACUGACGCUCAUGCACGAAAGCGUGGGGAGCAAACAGGAUUAGAUACCCUGGUAGUCCACGCCCUAAACGAUGUCAACUGGUUGUUGGGAGGGUUUCUUCUCUAGUAACGUAGCUAACGCGUGAAGUUGACCGCCUGGGGAGUACGGCCGCAAGGUUGAAACUCAAAUGAAUUGACGG